AUGAACUGGAGGUGCCACUAUCCGAUGUCUUCCAGGACAGCCACACAAAUGGGCUGCUAUUUUUGGAAACUCGUCUGUGAGGACCCAGCAUGCGGAAUGGAAGCGAACUCUGGCAGACAGGGAAGUCCCUGCCCCAGGAUGACUCCCAGUCACAUGCAGAUGCCCGCAGCGCAGCCUCCUUCCCGCCUGCCAGGAGCUGAUGACCCCGCCAGUCACCCAGGCAGCAAUCUCUCCCCUCAGGCCAGACCUGUCAGCGACUCCUCAGAGCCUGUCAGGCCUCCGUGGUGGUUCUGAACUCAGGAUGCCGCUUGCUCACCGAGAUGUUAUCAUCUGACUUCUGACAGAGUAAUUCCUUAAUCACCUGUUUGAGUUUUUCCAAUUAACAUUAAGCCUCACGUGCUACUUCCUCGUGGUUUUGAGGUGUUGAGAGCUUAGACGUGGUUCACUCCUUCUCCAGGAAGUGAGGUGGUCCUCCAGACUCUGAGAGGGACUCCUCAGGGAAGGAAAAUACCCUCUGUGUUCCUUACCUGUAGCUGCUGUAGCAGUUAUCACAAGCUUGGUGACUAGAAGCAAAGCAGACAGAAACGUGCUCUCUCACAGUCCUGGAGGCCGGAAGUCCGAGCUCAGGGUGUCCUCUGAAAGUUCCAGAGGAGCGUCCUUCCUGGCCUCUUCCAGCUGCUGGUGGCCCUGACGUUGCUCGGCUGUGUCACUCCGACCUUUGCUCUGUCUUCACAGGACCUCCUCCUCCCACGUCUCAAAUCUCUCUCUGCUCGUCUCCUAUAAGGAUGCGUGUCAUUGGAUUUAGGGCCCACCUGGAUAAUCCGGGAGGAGCUCCUCUCAGGACCCUUGGCCUAUUUACAUCUGCGAAGAACUUUUUUCCCGAGUAAGGUAGCAACUACAACUUGAUCAGGACACGACAAUGUCCUUUGCAGGGGGCGCCGUUUAACCCACUGUACUCUGUGUGAGAUUUGUGGAAACGUCUUUCCAGGACAAACGUGGGAUGUGAACGAAGUCUGUGGUCUGCCUAGCUGUCCCUUUCUUGACUGGUUUGUCUCCUCUUAGCCCCCUGCUUCUGCCUUUUCUGCACAGCCUAGGAUGCUCCUGUUCACUGGGUUUUAAGGGAUUCAUAUGUGGUUCCUCCACAGAUAUUUGCAGUUUAAACUUAUAUAAUAGACAGGGUAAUGCUAAUGCCGGUGGGGAAAUGUUCUUUAAAAUUUUGGAUGUUGAAGAGAAAUAUAUUUCUGGAAUAGAAGAGGAAAGUUAGUGGCAAAGUUCCUUCGAGUGAGCGAACACU
Molecule: long non-coding RNA, 1294 nt
Filed under: Bos indicus x Bos taurus (hybrid cattle)
Lineage: Eukaryota; Metazoa; Chordata; Mammalia; Artiodactyla; Bovidae
Description: lncRNA (ENSBIXG00005003970.1)
Source: RNAcentral